GUGUUGUCUGAAAGAAGGUUAGCACUCCCCUUGACUAGGAUAAAAGAGGCCCUCGGGUCUGACAAACAUGCAAAGGGUUAAUUUUUUUUUUUUUUUUUUUUUUUUUUUU
Pongo abelii (Sumatran orangutan) is the source of this 109-nucleotide small nuclear RNA. The record is from Ensembl. Lineage: Eukaryota; Metazoa; Chordata; Mammalia; Primates; Hominidae.